Molecule: ribosomal RNA, 851 nt
Filed under: Escherichia coli
Lineage: Bacteria; Pseudomonadati; Pseudomonadota; Gammaproteobacteria; Enterobacterales; Enterobacteriaceae
Description: partial 23S ribosomal RNA
Rfam family: Bacterial large subunit ribosomal RNA
Source: RNAcentral
GUACACAAAAAUGCACAUGCUGUGAGCUCGAUGAGUAGGGCGGGACACGUGGUAUCCUGUCUGAAUAUGGGGGGACCAUCCUCCAAGGCUAAAUACUCCUGACUGACCGAUAGUGAACCAGUACCGUGAGGGAAAGGCGAAAAGAACCCCGGCGAGGGGAGUGAAAAAGAACCUGAAACCGUGUACGUACAAGCAGUGGGAGCACGCUUAGGCGUGUGACUGCGUACCUUUUGUAUAAUGGGUCAGCGACUUAUAUUCUGUAGCAAGGUUAACCGAAUAGGGGAGCCGAAGGGAAACCGAGUCUUAACUGGGCGUUAAGUUGCAGGGUAUAGACCCGAAACCCGGUGAUCUAGCCAUGGGCAGGUUGAAGGUUGGGUAACACUAACUGGAGGACCGAACCGACUAAUGUUGAAAAAUUAGCGGAUGACUUGUGGCUGGGGGUGAAAGGCCAAUCAAACCGGGAGAUAGCUGGUUCUCCCCGAAAGCUAUUUAGGUAGCGCCUCGUGAAUUCAUCUCCGGGGGUAGAGCACUGUUUCGGCAAGGGGGUCAUCCCGACUUACCAACCCGAUGCAAACUGCGAAUACCGGAGAAUGUUAUCACGGGAGACACACGGCGGGUGCUAACGUCCGUCGUGAAGAGGGAAACAACCCAGACCGCCAGCUAAGGUCCCAAAGUCAUGGUUAAGUGGGAAACGAUGUGGGAAGGCCCAGACAGCCAGGAUGUUGGCUUAGAAGCAGCCAUCAUUUAAAGAAAGCGUAAUAGCUCACUGGUCGAGUCGGCCUGCGCGGAAGAUGUAACGGGGCUAAACCAUGCACCGAAGCUGCGGCAGCGACACUAUGUGUUGUUGGGUA